This is a long non-coding RNA of Poecilia latipinna (sailfin molly), 128 nucleotides long. RefSeq lists it as uncharacterized. The record is from RefSeq and is a predicted model, not a curated record. NCBI's taxonomy places the organism in Eukaryota, Metazoa, Chordata, Actinopteri, Cyprinodontiformes, Poeciliidae. The transcript is spliced from 2 exons.
CUGUGUUGCUCUGCAACAGACUGGCGACCUGUCCAGGUGACCCCGCCUCUCGCCUGGAAUGUUAGCUGGAGAGACACCAGCAGCUCCUGACCCACAAAGGGACAAAGGUGUAAAGAAAAUGGAUGGAU